RNAcentral lists this transfer RNA (72 nucleotides) under Phrynosoma platyrhinos (Desert horned lizard). Its description in RNAcentral is "tRNA-OTHER". Lineage: Eukaryota; Metazoa; Chordata; Lepidosauria; Squamata; Phrynosomatidae. The record is from RNAcentral.
GCCAGGGUGGCAUAGUGGUUUGAGUAUUGCACUACAACUCUGGAGACCGGGGUUCGAUUCCCAGCUUGGCCA